Molecule: ribosomal RNA, 771 nt
Filed under: uncultured Neocallimastigales
Lineage: Eukaryota; Fungi; Neocallimastigomycota; Neocallimastigomycetes; Neocallimastigales
Description: partial large subunit ribosomal RNA
Rfam family: Eukaryotic large subunit ribosomal RNA
Source: RNAcentral
GAGAGAGACAUGCGCGCAUAUCAAUAAGCGGAGGAAAAGAAACUAACUAGGAUUCCCUCAGUAACGGCGAGUGAAGCGGGAAGAGCUCAAAUUUGAAAUCUUCAAGGUUCUACCUUGACGAAUUGUAGUUUAAAGAAGUGUUUUCUGUUGAAGUUUGGUAAAAGUUCUUUGGAAUAGGACAUCAUAGAGGGUGAGAAUCCCGUAUUUGACCAUUAUUUCAGCUUUGUGAUACACUUUCAAAGAGUCGGAUUGUUUGGGAAUGCAGUCCUAAAUGGGUGGUAAAUUUCAUCUAAAGCUAAAUACUGGCGAGAGACCGAUAGCGAACAAGUACCGUGAGGGAAAGAUGAAAAGAACUUUGAAAAGAGAGUUAAACAGUACGUGAAAUUGUCAAAAGGGAAGCGUUUGACACCAGUGUUGUUUUCUCGAAAAUCAAUUAAAAAAGGCAGGAUUUUGUGUUGUAUUGACUUUAUCAGCUUUCUGCACUCUUUUCUUGUCUUUUUUAAUGCACUUUUCGUUUAACAAGUCAACAUCAAUUUCUUUUGUUGUAAAAGGGUCAUUGGAAGGUGGCUUUCUUUUCGGAGAAAGUGUUUAUAGCCUUUGGCCUCUGCAAUCGGAGAGAUUGAGGUCUGCAGCGUAGAUCCUUCGGGGUUAGAUACAUUUGUGCUAAGUUAUAGCCUUUCAUAGACAACUUGUUGACUAUGAUCAGUCAUGUAGCUUACUCGCUUAUGCUAUUUUACCUACGCUUAGGAUGUUGAUGUGAUACUGCGAGCA